UGGCGGCGUGCUUAACACAUGCAAGUCGAACGAGAACGGAUUAUAGCUUGCUAUAAUUGUCAGCUAAGUGGCGCACGGGUGAGUAAUGUAUAGAUAACCUGCCCUUAAGAAAGGAAUAACAGUUGGAAAACGACUGCUAAUGCCUUAUAUGCCUUUAAUACAUAAGUAUGCAAGGGAAACGCUUUAGUGCUUAAGGAUGGGUCUGUAUGGUAUCAGUUAGUUGGUGGGGUAAUGGCCUACCAAGACAAUGACGCCUAACUGGUUUGAGAGGAUGAUCAGUCACACUGGAACUGAGACACGGUCCAGACUCCUACGGGAGGCAGCAGGUGGGGAAUUAUUGCACAAUGGACGAAAGUCUGAUGCAGCAACGCCGCGUGGAGGAUGACACAUUUCGGUGCGUAAACUCCUUUUAUAUAGGAAGAUAAUGACGGUAC
This 434-nucleotide ribosomal RNA is filed under the name uncultured bacterium. RNAcentral's name for it is "bacterial SSU rRNA". It matches the Rfam family "Bacterial small subunit ribosomal RNA", at positions 37 to 478 of the family's 1533-position model. The record is from RNAcentral.